UGCAGUCGAACGGUAACAGGCCGCAAGGUGCUGACGAGUGGCGAACGGGUGAGUAAUACAUCGGAACGUGCCCGAUCGUGGGGGAUAACGCAGCGAAAGCUGUGCUAAUACCGCAUACGAUCUACGGAUGAAAGCGGGGGAUCGCAAGACCUCGCGCGGACGGAGCGGCCGAUGGCAGAUUAGGUAGUUGGUGGGGUAAAGGCCUACCAAGCCGACGAUCUGUAGCUGGUCUGAGAGGACGACCAGCCACACUGGGACUGAGACACGGCCCAGACUCCUACGGGAGGCAGCAGUGGGGAAUUUUGGACAAUGGGCGCAAGCCUGAUCCAGCCAUGCCGCGUGCAGGAUGAAGGCCUUCGGGUUGUAAACUGCUUUUGUACGGAACGAAAAGGUUUCUUUUAAUACAGGGAACUGAUGACGGUACCGUAAGAAUAAGCACCGGCUAACUACGUGCCAGCAGCCGCGGUAAUACGUAGGGUGCGAGCGUUAAUCGGAAUUACUGGGCGUAAAGCGUGCGCAGGCGGUGAUGUAAGACAGAGGUGAAAUCCCCGGGCUCAACCUGGGAACUGCCUUUGUGACUGCAUCGCUGGAGUGCGGCAGAGGGGGAUGGAAUUCCGCGUGUAGCAGUGAAAUGCGUAGAUAUGCGGAGGAACACCGAUG
This 660-nucleotide ribosomal RNA is filed under the name Pseudacidovorax intermedius. RNAcentral describes it as "bacterial SSU rRNA". It matches the Rfam family "Bacterial small subunit ribosomal RNA", at positions 56 to 714 of the family's 1533-position model. The record is from RNAcentral. Lineage: Bacteria; Pseudomonadati; Pseudomonadota; Betaproteobacteria; Burkholderiales; Comamonadaceae.